This is a long non-coding RNA of Piliocolobus tephrosceles (Ugandan red Colobus), 932 nucleotides long. RefSeq lists it as uncharacterized. The record is from RefSeq and is a predicted model, not a curated record. Lineage: Eukaryota; Metazoa; Chordata; Mammalia; Primates; Cercopithecidae. The transcript is spliced from 5 exons.
CCUGAAGCUGGCUUGCUUCUCGCGUGCCGCCUGUGAUGGGAGGAAUAGGUCGCAGGUUCCAUCCUGCGUCAUCCUCCCAAACUUCUGAAGCGUCUGGCGCUUGGGGUCACUGCCCCCAAGGAGGCACCUGGAGGGGGGGAUGGCGUCCACUCCGAUGGGGAAUGAGGGGGAGAAGAAGAGCAGCUGGCCGUCUCAAGCUGCACCCACCUUGAGAGGAGGUCCGGUUUCGUUGUCUCGUUCUGAGGAAUACCUGUCCCGGAUCAGUGCAGAACUCACGGAGGAGGCUUUGUGCACUGCUUGUUGCCACUUGAACCCUGUGCCCAUCAAAAAAAAACAGACACAAGACCAAGCGACUCAGAUAUCCAAACGUGGUAACCCCUGCCUCAGGACCAUCGUGUCUAGAGAACCGCAGCCCCCAUCAUGCCUGGUUCCAGUCCCUGACCCCUCCCACCCCUAGCUGAACUCUCCAGGAGUCUGUGCCCAUCUCGCCCAUCUCACAGCCAGCCCUAGGACCUGUGAAGUGCCCGUCUUACCCGCUAACCCAGUACCUACUCCUCACUGCUGGCUGAGAAUCCCCUUACCCCGUCUGCCCUGACCACACUUCUUCCUGGCCACGGGGAUAGUCCUUUCUCUGACUAGGUCCUCUGCUUCCAGCAUUCUUCACCAAGACCUGAGGCGCAGACACCCGAAACCGUACCCGCAGCAAGACACACCUCCUGCCAACUCCUCGUGAAAAGAACAUGCCUCAAAACUCCUCUUUUGCCACUCGUUAAUCACUUCCAUUUGUGGGAACCUCCUGGUCAUGAGCAGCAUCAUCCCGAAGCCUUCAAAGUGUUCUGGAUUCAUCACAUACCCCUCCAACCUCAGCCAGCAAGGACACCACCAGGAAUGAAAGCGCUUUAAUAAAGAGACAGGGAUCGUUCCCUCCCCCA